Molecule: long non-coding RNA, 1169 nt
Organism: Aethalodelphis obliquidens (Pacific white-sided dolphin)
Lineage: Eukaryota; Metazoa; Chordata; Mammalia; Artiodactyla; Delphinidae
Exons: 3
Source: RefSeq, a predicted model, not a curated record
AGAGAAAAGGACCAUAAGGAAACAGGGAAUGUUACGAACGAGCGGUGACAGGAAUGUGGAGGUCAGGGAAAGUGGGAGGACAGAGUAAUAAAGGAACGUGGGCAAACAGUAGGAUGAGGGGGCAGAGGGACUUGGGGAAUGAGGAAGGGAGGAAGAGAACAUAGGGACGCGUAAAGGAUAAGGAUAUGAGAGAUGAGAUGGCAAAAUGUUCACCGGAUUAGGGGCUGAAAAUAAUGAUUAAAUAGUUGUUCAUUAAAUCAUAAAGGCUGCUUUAGAGUUAGUCAUGCAUUCAAAUCCUGCCUCUGCCAGUUAUUUGCAGUGUAAUUCAAGGCAUGGAACAUCAGCUUCCCUAUCUUUAAAAUAGGAAUAAUAAUAGCUUCAGAGAUUAAAUGAGUUAAUACAUGUUAAAUGCUUAAAAUAAUGCUUGAUACAUAGAAAAUACUCAAAUGUAAGUAGUAUUACUACUGUCUCCGUAGGGGUUGUUAGGAUGGAAUGGACUAAUGUAUAUCAACGGUUUCUAAAACAACUUCAAAAAUGGUGGCUGUAGGAGGGGAAGAUGUAGGAAGCAGGGCUGAGAAGUAAGCAAGUGAUUGGUAUGGGAAGGGUAAUAGGGAAAGUAUAAAACAGGUAGAGAAAAAGUUAAUGUUCAUUCUAUUUCCGUUGCACCCCUGGCCCAGCAUUGUAGAAAGGGCGCUAGAACAGAAGCUGAAACUUUCAGUCCUACUGUGAGUUGGAUUAAAGUCUCUGUGGUCUGGAAGUGUCUGAAGGGGAAAAUCACUUUUGGCAUUAAUCCAUUGUCCACACAAAAACAGUAUGAAAGAGGAAAUGGGGAAGGAACUGUUAAUUGUGUGAAAACAUUAGACACAUAUACUGUUGGAUGCAGUGGUGUUGGACAGAGGGCAAACUUUUAGUAAUCUUUCCCUGUCCUCUCAAAUUCCCAAGCAGGGCAGGAAGGGAGGGUAGAGGGAUAGAACUGUGAUAAGAGAACCAGAACUGGGUGAAGGAGAAAUGCUUCUGCUGGUAAUUUUCUGUUACAGAGGACAAAAGAAUGCCAUAGGAAGGAUACAUAAAAGAAUUUUUCUGAUAGAGACUGAAUCCCAAUCACCUCGUGUAUGUGGUAUAAAAAUAUGCAAAGAUUAUUUCUGAAAAACUUAAGACAAUGAGUCUUU